GAACGGAUCCUUCGGGGUUAGUGGCGGACGGGUGAGUAACACGUGGGAACGUGCCUUUUGGUUCGGAACAACUCAGGGAAACUUGAGCUAAUACCGGAUGUGCCCUUCGGGGGAAAGAUUUAUCGCCAUUAGAGCGGCCCGCGUCUGAUUAGCUAGUUGGUGGGGUAAAGGCCCACCAAGGCUACGAUCAGUAGCUGGUCUGAGAGGAUGAUCAGCCACAUUGGGACUGAGACACGGCCCAAACUCCUACGGGAGGCAGCAGUGGGGAAUCUUGCGCAAUGGGCGAAAGCCUGACGCAGCCAUGCCGCGUGAAUGAUGAAGGUCUUAGGAUUGUAAAAUUCUUUCACCGGGGACGAUAAUGACGGUACCCAGAGAAGAAGCCCCGGCUAACUUCGUGCCAGCAGCCGCGGUAAUACGAAGGGGGCUAGCGUUGCUCGGAAUUACUGGGCGUAAAGGGAGCGUAGGCGGAUAGUUAAGUCAGAGGUGAAAGCCCAGGGCUCAACCUUGGAAUUGCCUUUGAUACUGGCUAUCUUGAGUAUGGGAGAGGUUAGCGGAACUCCGAGUGUAGAGGUGAAAUUCGUAGAUAUUCGGAAGAACACCAGUGGCGAAGGCGGCUAACUGGCCCAUUACUGACGCUGAGGCUCGAAAGCGUGGGGA
RNAcentral lists this ribosomal RNA (657 nucleotides) under uncultured forest soil bacterium. Its description in RNAcentral is "bacterial SSU rRNA". It matches the Rfam family "Bacterial small subunit ribosomal RNA", at positions 64 to 767 of the family's 1533-position model. The record is from RNAcentral.